CGCGGGAUAGAGCAGCCUGGUAGCUCGCAAGGCUCAUAAUCUUGAGGUCGCAGGUUCGAAUCCUGCUCCCGCUA
This 74-nucleotide transfer RNA is filed under the name Pseudochlorella signiensis. Its description in RNAcentral is "tRNA-Met". It matches the Rfam family "tRNA". Rfam says of the family: Transfer RNA (tRNA) molecules are approximately 80 nucleotides in length. Their secondary structure includes four short double-helical elements and three loops (D, anti-codon, and T loops). Further hydrogen bonds mediate the characteristic L-shaped molecular structure. tRNAs have two regions of fundamental functional importance: the anti-codon, which is responsible for specific mRNA codon recognition, and the 3' end, to which the tRNAs corresponding amino acid is attached (by aminoacyl-tRNA synthetases). tRNAs cope with the degeneracy of the genetic code in two manners: having more than one tRNA (with a specific anti-codon) for a particular amino acid; and 'wobble' base-pairing, i.e. permitting non-standard base-pairing at the 3rd anti-codon position. Lineage: Eukaryota; Viridiplantae; Chlorophyta; Trebouxiophyceae; Chlorellales; Chlorellaceae. The record is from RNAcentral.